UUUAUUGAUACAUAGCAAUGGCAUGUAUUUAUGGGGUACAUGUGAUAUUUUGAUACAUUUAUACAAUGCAUAAUGAUCAAAUUAGGGUAAUUGAGGUAUCUAUCACCUCAAAUAUUUAUUUCUUUGUGUUGAGAAUAUUUCAAAUCUUUUCUUCUAGGUAUUUUUAAAAAUACAAUAAAUUACUGAUAACUAUAGUCACCUUACUGUGCUAUCAAACACUCCAGCUUAUUCCUUCUAUGUAACUGUAUUUUUGUACCCACUAAACAACCUCUCUUCAUUCUCGCCCCCCAUUUUUCCCAACCUCUAAUAACCACAAUUCUACUCUCUACCUCUAUGAGAUCUGUUUUGGCUCCCACAUAUGAGUGAGAAUGUGUGAUAAGGAAUGGCUCAUCUUAAGUAAUUGGAUGUAUGGUGGUGGUUUAGGUAAGGGGUAAGGGAGAAGUUAGCACAAUCUUAGGAGAAUAAUAUGAGAUGUUGACUAAUAUUAACCAAACAUUAGCUGGAGAUU
RNAcentral lists this long non-coding RNA (508 nucleotides) under Pan troglodytes (chimpanzee). Its description in RNAcentral is "long non-coding RNA NONPTRT013990". Lineage: Eukaryota; Metazoa; Chordata; Mammalia; Primates; Hominidae. The record is from RNAcentral.